GCCAGGACUCCCUAAAUCCUUUCUGUCUGAAUAGCAGAGGGGAGUUUUGGCUGAAAGCUGUUUAAAAGAUAAAUUAAUUUUCUAACUCAUUAGUUUAUUUAAUCCAUAAUUCCUAUCAUGUAAAUUUAUUUUGUUAUAUAGAAUAGGUAAGAUAUUUGCCUGGUUCAGAAUUCAGUAAAAGGAUCUCCUAACCCAGUCCCAAUUGUCUGAUUUCCCUCCCUAGAGGGAAGUAACAGACCAGUUUCUUAUGCCUCCUUUCAGAGAUAUGUUGGCUGUAUGCACAGAUGGGGAACCUACAGAUACUUAGGGCCGACUGUACUUCUUGUAGGCCCAGGAACUAUUACCCAUUUUAUUUCUCUGAUGACUUACUAUUGGUCUUUCUUGCUGUACUGUGAGAUCCAUGAAGGCAGGGACCAUGUCUGUUUUUCUCUCCGUUGUAUCUCCGAAGCCCAGCACUGUGCCCGGUCCCUAGUAGGCACGCUGUAAUAAUUGUUUGAGUUUGUUCAGUAAGAUCGAGGACUCUUGAUUAAGAGUUCAGUAUGUGCAGGCACUGUUCUAGGCACUGGAGAUACAUCAGUGCAUAAAACAGACAAAAUUCCUGCUCGCUCCAGCUUGACAUUCUGAUAGUUGUUGGGGGAAGGAAUAUACAGUUAAUAAAUAAAUAAAAAUGAGCAAA
This is a long non-coding RNA of Homo sapiens (human), 676 nucleotides long. RefSeq lists it as uncharacterized. The transcript has 2 exons. The record is from RefSeq and is a predicted model, not a curated record. NCBI's taxonomy places the organism in Eukaryota, Metazoa, Chordata, Mammalia, Primates, Hominidae.